RNAcentral lists this transfer RNA (74 nucleotides) under Pyrinomonadaceae bacterium. Its description in RNAcentral is "tRNA-Glu". It matches the Rfam family "tRNA". From Rfam's summary of the family: Transfer RNA (tRNA) molecules are approximately 80 nucleotides in length. The record is from RNAcentral. Lineage: Bacteria; Pseudomonadati; Acidobacteriota; Blastocatellia; Blastocatellales; Pyrinomonadaceae.
GGGGAUGUAGGCUAACAGGAUAAGCCGCUUGAGUUUCAAUCAAGAGAAUGCGAGUUCGAGUCUCGUCAUCCCUG